UACGGAAGGCAGCAGUGGGGAAUAUUGCACAAUGGGCGAAAGCCUGAUGCAGCUAUGCCGCGUGUAUGAAGAAGGCCUUAGGGUUGUAAAGUACUUUUCAUCGGGGAGGAAAAAACAAAAACUAAUAAUUUUUAUUUUCUUUGACGUUACCCGAAAAAGGAAGCACCGGCUAACUCCGUGCCAGCAGCCGCGGUAAUACGGAGGGUGCUAGCGUUAAUCAGAAUUACUGGGCGUAAAGAGCACGUAGGUGGUUUUUUUAAGUUCAGAUGUGAAAUCCCUGGGCUUAACCUAGGAACUGCAUUUUGAAACUGAAAUACUAGAGUAUCGUAGAGGGAGGUAGAAUUCUAGGUGUAGCGGUGAAAUGCAUAGAUAUCUGGAGGAAUACCUGUGGCGAAAGCGGCCUCCUAAACGAAUACUGACACUGAGGUGCGAAAGCGUGGGGAGCAAACAGGGAUUAGAUACC
Molecule: ribosomal RNA, 463 nt
Filed under: uncultured bacterium
Lineage: Bacteria
Description: bacterial SSU rRNA
Rfam family: Bacterial small subunit ribosomal RNA
Source: RNAcentral